Oreochromis aureus is the source of this 1247-nucleotide long non-coding RNA. The record is from Ensembl. Lineage: Eukaryota; Metazoa; Chordata; Actinopteri; Cichliformes; Cichlidae.
UUUUGUUUUUUUUAAUGCAAUUAAGCACUCCUCCUAGUUUUUCUUUUAUUUUUACAACUGUAUUCCUUGAUAAUCAAGUAGGUCCAUGACUAAAGCACCUAUUUGUGUACUCCAAAAGGUCUGUGCGUCUAAACUUGAAUUUUCUUUUUUUUUUUAUUUAUUGAUGUACUGUUUGUUUGUUUAGGUUUGGGUUUUUUUGAGCACAGGUUUCGUACGUGUGAUUAUCGAACUGUAGGCAUCCCUGACUCGUGUUAGCUGCUUAAACAAAAGUCUGAUCAUUUGUGAUGAUAAAACUUGUCUUAAAGCUUCUGUUUUUUUCUGUUGUUUAGCUGAACUGCAUGCUUCCAGACAACGACUUAUUGCCAAUGUUUUUUAUUUUUGUUUGGGGUUUUUUUGUUUUUGUUUUGUUUUUAUUGUAUUGCACAGAGAUUCUGCAAAACCGAACGGCCUUUAUUUUCCUUUGCACCUGCAGAUCGCAUGAUCGCGCUCAUUUCUUUGUGCCAGUUUGUCCUCUCCCGGCCCUCCUGCCUGACGCAGCAGCAGUAUUAUUUAAGUGUCCAUCUGAGUUACUUCAGAAACUGUCUGGUGUGUAUGUUUUGGUUUGAAGAGACAGCAUGUUUGCUCUCAUUUAAGUGGCCCUUAAAUACGCCCAAGGAGGAUUUGAUUUGAUUUGUUUUCCACCCCCCUUUUUCUGUGUCAAAGGGCAUGUUUCAGUUCACUGUGAUGUCUUUUGUGUUUUGUGCAAUGUUGCCGACUGUCAUUUUGUUUUUCUUUUUCUUUUUUCUUUUUAAUUAACAUGCUGUCAAAUAGUGUUGGAAUAAAUAAAUAAAUUCACCUUCAUAAGCACUCAUCAUCUCUUUUUACUUGUAGUAAAAUUGCUUACAGUAACUCUAACUGGGGUCAUAUCUAUCUCUCUUGGUGUUGCUUCAAUUAAAAAGUGGAUGAACACAAAAUACCAUGUUAAUUACUGUUCAACCUGUGUUACUGCAUACUACAUUAUUGUUGAAGAACUUGUAAAUAGUUUGCAUUGAACUUGCAUAGGAUCUUGUUACUGUGGCGUGCUCUUUUUGCCUGUAAAAUUCUGCUUCUAAAUGUGUGUGACUGUUGAGACGACACUCUUUUUGUACAUGACUGUCUUUUUAUUUGAGGAUAUUGAUUCUGUCCUUUUUCAUUCGAAAGUUGAGUUUGAAGAGUUCAGACAUGCCUGAAGUUUGACUUUAAUAAAGCUGUACUCUGUCUCAGUGAAA